UGUCUGUAAACUUUUCACAUUUUCGAGUUCUUCUCAAGAAUCAAUGGACCAAUUUUCACCAAACUUGCCACAAAGCAUCCUUGGGUGAAGGGGAUUCAAGUUCAAAUGAAGGGUCAAGCCCUCUUCCAAGGGGAGAUAAUUAUGAAUCAAAUCAUAACCCACAGGGGUAGGGUGGGGCCACAAAGAUGGAUCCAAGUUUUACAUAGGAUUGAUUUUAUACUGUUUAACGUCCCUCUCCAGAAUAUUUCACUGAUAUGAAGACGUCACCAUUGCCGGUGAAGGGCUGCAAAUUUAGGCCUAUGCUCGGCACUUACGGCCAUUAAGCAGGGAGGGAUCUUAAUCGUGCCACACCUGCUGUGACACGGGGCCUCGGUUUAUACGGUCUCAUCCGAAGGACCGCCCCAUUUAGUCGCCUUUUACGACAAGCAAGGGGGUACUGAGGACCUAUUCUAUCCCGGAUCCCCACGGGGCGUUUUACAUAGGAAAAUAAAGGGAAAAAUCUCAAUAACAUAAAAGGUAUGUUAAGUCAUACUGACAUGUAAGCAUCCUCAUGUUUUGAAGAUUUAAAUUUGUUCAAAUCAUGAGUACCCUUUGGGGUAGGGAGGGAAGCAAUGGGGAGUUAAAUUCAAAUUAUUACAAAGUAAUAUAUACAAACAAAAUGUGAAAAAAAUCUAUAAUAAUCUUUUUCUGCAAGAACUUUCUCAAAAGUUAUAUGCAGAAUAGAUAUGGAGGCAUUCUAAAGUAGUAUUACAAUUCAAGCCCCCUUCCCCCCACCCCUCAGUCAACUUUUCAAUUCUAAUCUGAUUUGUGCUUUCACCUAGCUGAUUUGCUCAAAUGAGCGAUGUGGCCCCUGGGCCUCUUGAUUUCAUAUGUCGACUCGAUAUCUCUCGAAUUUGAAAUUUGAUUUGAAAUCAUUUUUCAGCAGAGUUUGGCUUAUAUGUUUCAUAUAUUUUAGAUUUGUUUUGGGCGUGAUUUUUCUUUGUAAAGUCCAUAUUUCACAUAACCUCAUUUAAGUAUAUAAAACACACUUUCAGUCUAUCAGUGUGUACCAACCUGUCCUCCUGGAUAUCAUAAACCAAAAUUACAAGAUGGAUGUAUUCCAGACCAAACAAGUCUCACAUCGACUGAAUCGGCGACUACAAGGACACAAAUAGAGGAUUUGAGGGAAACCGAGGUUUCUGUAAUGAAAGAUGAAGUUCCCGAUAACAAUGCUACAGUUUUAGGCUUAGCCAUAACGUUAAGCUUGACGUUAUUUGUGGUAUCUGUGAUAGUCAUUAUUUAUUGUAUACGGAGUAAAAAAUGUAAGUAUUUUUUUUUCUUAUUUUGGUUGUUCAUGUAAAAAACAACAAACGAAUUAAAAAGAUCAUUUUAUGUUUCUCCUGUACCUUUUUAGCUCACAUGAACCAAAAGCCCAAAUGAGCAUUUCUGAUCGAAAGUCUGUUGUCUGUCGUCGUCAUCGUCGUCUAUUUUUCACAAUUUUAUCUUCUCUAGAAAACUGCUGGGCUUAUUUCAACCAAAUUUGGCACAGAGUAUCUGAGAGGAAGUUAAAAAUAUGAAAAUGAAGGGCCAAGUCCUCUUACAAUGUACAAGGGGAGAUAACUUUGUUCAAAUAAAGGGUCACGCCCGUCCAAGAGGAGAUAACUACGAAAUAGCGAAAAGUAAUAUCAGUGAAAAAGUCUCACCUCAAAAACCAAUGGGACAGGAAAAAUGACAUUCCUCUGAAAUCAUUGUCAGGUAGUGUAGAUUCAAGUUUGUUCAAAUCAUGUCCCCGGGGGUUAGAUGGAGCCACAAUAGAUGAUCAAAGGUAUAUGUAGGAGUUCAAAAGGGAAAAGUCACAAUUAGUCAGAAACUACGUAAGCAUAUUUAUUUAGUAUAGAUUCGAUUUUGUUCAAAUCAUAACA
Saccostrea cuccullata (small rock oyster) is the source of this 1901-nucleotide long non-coding RNA. RefSeq lists it as uncharacterized. The transcript has 4 exons. The record is from RefSeq and is a predicted model, not a curated record. Lineage: Eukaryota; Metazoa; Mollusca; Bivalvia; Ostreida; Ostreidae.